AUGCCUGAGCAGGACAAGGACCCUAGAGUCCAAGAGAAUCCUGAUGAUCAGAGAAGGGUCCCCGAGGUCACCGGGGAUGCACGGUCUGCAUUUCGGCCCCUGCGGGACAAUGGAGGCCUCUCUCUCCCUUUGUGCCCGGGCCCGGGCCUCUGCAGACAGACCUCCAUACCCAGAGGUGAGAAAUCAGAUAUAACCAGACAUCCCAGACCUCCUGGACGAGCUCCUGCACCAAACGAAAUGCCAUCUCCAGCUCCUGCAGCUCCACGGGAGGCUUGCCGGGGCUAAAGCGGAGGAGGGGACCAGCCUCAUCCCACAGCCAGCUGACCCUCAGUUCCUCAAAGACAGUGGGUGAGGACAGGCUUCAGGCUGUCUCUUCGGGUCACACCCAGUGUGAAAAGGCAGCAGAUAUAGCACCAGGGCAGACACUCACCCUCAGGAAUGACUCCUCCAUAUCCGAGGCCUCUAGGCCCAGUAUACACAAGUUUCCCCUGCUGCCAUGCAGGCGAGGGGAGCCUUUGAUGCUGCCACCUCCCUUAGAGCUGGGGUACCGGGUCACUGUUGAAGACCUGGACCGGGAGAAGGAGGCAGCAUUCCAGCGCAUCAAUAGUGCACUGCAGGUUGAGGACAAGGCCAUCUCGGACUGCAGACUCUCACGGCCUUCCCACACUUUGUCCUCACUUGCAACAGGGACUUCUGGUCUGCCUGCCGUUUCUAAAGCACCCAGUAUGGAUGCACAGCAGGAGAGACACAAGUCCCAAGACUGCCUGGGCCUACUGGCCCCCCUAGCACCUGCUGCAGAGGUCCCCUCUACAGCUCCCAUGUCUGGGAAGAAGCACAGACCACCAGGCCCCCUGUUCUCCUCCUCAGAUCCCCUUCCUGCCACCUCUUCCCACUCCCAGGACUCAGCCCAGGUCACCUCGCUGAUUCCUGCCCCCUUCCCAGCUGCAAGCAUGGAUGCGGGCAUGAGAAGAACAAGCCCUGGCACUUCUGCUCCUGCAGCCGCAGCAGCCCCUCCCCCCUCCACAUUGAACCCCACGUUGGGGUCACUACUAGAGUGGAUAGAGGCCCUUCACAUUUCUGGGCCUCAGCCACAGCUGCAGCAGGUGCCCAGAGGUCAGAACCAGAGAUCCCAGACCUCCCGGACCAGCUCGUGCCC
RNAcentral lists this long non-coding RNA (1156 nucleotides) under Homo sapiens (human). RNAcentral describes it as "non-protein coding lnc-SYNDIG1-7:1". Lineage: Eukaryota; Metazoa; Chordata; Mammalia; Primates; Hominidae. The record is from RNAcentral.